AAAUUUUUAAUCAAAAUGCCACGUUUUCAAAGAAAAUGAAUAUUAUCACCGUUGAUUAUCAGGCACUAUAAAGAGCAUUUUCGAAAAAGGUUAUCAUUUUGUAAAUGUGAUGCAUAGUGUAUCUCUCUCUGCUUUUGCAAACUAGAAGGUUUCUCAUUUUUAUGCCCGUUUCAAGAAUGGCGUUCACCAGGGUUUUCCAAAUGGUUCUGAUCAUCUAAUUGGUGGCUUCAACGCCUUUUCUCCAUUUCUCUUAUCGCACUAGUAACAGACUGCUUUCACAAACAACAAUGGCAGAAGAGACCUCCACAAUCACAGAGGAGCUUGAAAGCAACUACCAGUUCAAUAGAUUUAGGAGAGGAAGUUCAGUUCUCAUUGUAGAGAAAAGGGAAGUUCCGACUGGACCAGACCCUCUUCACCAUAACAGUAACCCUACAGGACCUUAAUCAGCUUUCCUAUUCAUUGGUGGCAUAUGGGUUUCUAACCAGUUUUUUUUCUCUCUCUCUUUUCCUUUAUUUAGCCAUGGUUUUUAUUGUUCACUGGUCUUUGUCUUUGUAUAGAAUUAGUUAAAUUUGUAUUUAUUCUGAUGAUGAAAUCUCUUUUUCCAUUUUUAAAACAGGGUACUUACAUAGCUGUAUUUAGUUACUUGUUAGCUUUCUUUGGUCUGAAAUAUCCUGUUUUCCUCUCCAUUCCUUCUUUGUUUGAAUUAACUUGUGGAAAUUGAUGAAUGUCAGAAAU
Molecule: non-coding RNA, 735 nt
Organism: Durio zibethinus
Lineage: Eukaryota; Viridiplantae; Streptophyta; Magnoliopsida; Malvales; Malvaceae
Source: RefSeq, a predicted model, not a curated record